RNAcentral lists this long non-coding RNA (3628 nucleotides) under Homo sapiens (human). RNAcentral describes it as "HSALNT0147066". Lineage: Eukaryota; Metazoa; Chordata; Mammalia; Primates; Hominidae. The record is from RNAcentral.
CACCAUGUAAGACUUCCUUUUGUUCUUCCUUCAUCUUCUGCCCUGAUUGUGAGGCCUCCCCAGCCAUUUGGAACUGUCAACAGUUCUCAGUUUUUGGUCCCUGAGGAGCAGCAUCAUCAUCACCUAGGAACUUGUUAGAAAGGAUACUCUAGUCAUCUUCAUAUAAAAUGAUCAAGGUGAAGAAAUAUAAAAUGAUCAAGGUGAAGAAAAUAACCAAGUUUCAGGUGACUCCACUGAAAAACAAGCCCCUGUGACUCACUUUAUCAUUGAGACCUGGCUAAGAAAUGGGUGUAAGGAAAAAGAGGCCCACUAUGACACCGUGACAGGCUAAAGAGCCUUUUGAAUGGAAACUACAUAAAGCAUCAAGCCCCUGAAAAGAAUGACCAGACAAAAGUGCCACAAUCAAUUGAAUGUCUUUAGGAGAUACACUUUUCUUUUAAAAAGCGUGACGCUUUGAUGACUCAGUGGCAGGACAGGUGACAAAGGAAUGGCUGCCUGGAGGCUGUGCAUGGCAGGAGGAGACACCACAGUCUUCCCGCCCUGCCACCCGUCCCUGCCGCCUGACUGUGGAAGGAUGAAGGACACUUUUAGAAAUUUCCCUGCGCGGAGAUGCCAGGAAACCAAUCAUCGCCCAGCCACUUUGUGGGGCCAUUAGCAGAGCGUCAAACUCCAUCUUUGUUUAAACGAAAGCACAAAGAAAAUAAUUUUUCAUCUGAGGAAUCACCUUAAGAUCCCCAAAUGGAAAGUAAGGGGAGCAGUAAACCUCUCACUCCGGGUGGGCAGCUCUAACACAGGGCAUUAAGGUAAGAAGGUUAUUUAUGACAGAAGAAAGGAGACAGGAUUCCAAAGUGGGAGACGAAGGACAGAGGUGAUUGGAGCCUAGCUUUAUCCCCUGCCCCAUUCAAAUGCGGAGGGCAAUGACUUCCAUAAGAAACCAGGUGCCACACGUGACCCAAAGGCAAAAGCCUCACUUUAACUCCUUGAUAUGGUCUGGCUGUGUUCCCACCCAAAAUCUCAUCUGGAAUUGUAGUCCCCAUAAUCCCUGUGUGUGUCAAGGGCAGAACCAGGUGGAGGUAAUCGGAUCAUGGGGGCGUUUCCCCCAUGCUGUUCUCGUGAUAGUGAGUGAGUCUCACGAGAUCUGAUGGUUUAAUAAGCGUCUGGCAUUUCCCCUGCUGGCACUCAUUCUUUCUCCUGCUGUCCUGCGAAGAGGUGCCUUCUGCCAUGAUUGUUAGUUCCUGAGGCCUCCCCAGCCAUGCGAACUCUGUAGGCUAACCCAAGAAGAAUAAAGCAUCGGCUUCCCUGACAUGCUGCUCCCCCCAAAACAGAGUGCCAAUAUGAUUCCAAGGUUCUUAGCACACUGUAUAUUACCUCACUCCUCCUACAGGUAAGUAGAAGUUCAGGGCCAUUGAAGAGAUUAAUAAGGGCUGUUGGGAGUUGGAAAAGUCAGAAUGGACUGAACUAAAGUGAGAAGGCAGAGGUUGAGAAAGAGACAGUCUUGGGGAUUUGUGAGCCCAGCAGAAGCUCAGGUUAAAUUUGUUUACUGAUGAGUUGCCUGCAUGGUGCACUUCAUGAGACUGGAAGGCAAGGCUGCCUAGGAGCAACAUGAGACUUGGGGGUCUAUGUUAGACCUGAAGGACUGGAGACACCUGCCUUCAUUCAAAAUGGACUAGGCUGCCUUAGACAGUGUACAUCUCAGCAGUGACAGUGAUGGACCAAAGACCCUCUGUAUAAGUUCAAAGACUCUGAUUGGACUGUACAAGUAGAGUGAGCCUGCUCUCCAGUAAUGAUUUCGGGCGUCUCAUUAACCUGGGAAGUAGGGACUUAGAGGUCCCCAUUUUAAAAGUUAUAAAAUUUUUCUUGCAUGGAGUGCUGUGGCUUGGAUUCACAUCAUUCUAUAUGGCAGUCAUAAAUCAAAAUUAUUAGCGUUUGCAGAAGACUAGUUUGGCAUUUUAUUUAUAAGUUUAGUGGACACACAAUAAUUUGGCUUUUACUCAGUGAGAUACUAGGAAUUCCUGCCAGAAUCAUCAGUUUUGAUUGGAGUUUUCCGUGGUUUUCAACUACUAAUAUUCUAGCUUUUUAGUUACAAGUUAUUAUUGGUUUUGCUUCAUCUUUAUCAUUUUAAUUUGCUGUGAUUUGCCCAGUUAGCCUGUGAUAGUAUAUAUUUUCAUCAACAGAGUUUUACCCUAUAACUUCCUGAUAUAUAGAUUUUUAGACAUCUGUUGAUAGCUUGAAUAUCAUUCAGUCCCUACUGUUCAUAUAAUCAGUGGCACCCCCCUAUCAGCUUCUAAAGUGGUAUUUUAUUCUAAUCAUCAUUUUUUUUUUUCUGCUAGAAACUCGGAAUGAGUGGGGUACGUGAACUAAGGGGUUCUCUGCUUAGCCAGUGGGCCUUGAUCAUAGUUUGGCAAUUGCUACUCGGAGGCUAUAACAUCCCUGUAGCCUCUGAGGCCCAUGGCUUCCUCCCUACUUAUUCUUUUCCUUACCUUUUAUCUUUGGAAGCUCUAGGAACAAGAGAUGAAAUCCUAGUUUAUCACUUUCAGUGUUGGAACCAUAUAUUUUGCAGUUGUCAUAUGAAGAUACAAAGAAGUACCUGAUGAUUUAGAUACACUGAAAAAGAGUCUUGAUGUGUCGGCAGCAAAAAUACAGUAAACUAAACUACCUUUGAUGAUAAUUUAUAUAAGAUUUCAUUUCUUCCUUGCAAGUAGGCUGUUUUCUAGUAUUGAUGUUGAAUUAGAUUUUUAGGGUAGUGUUUUAAAACUAGGAAAAAGACUUUUUAAUACUUAAACAUUCAGAAACUAGUGUCAUCAAUGUCAUUGUGCCCACCACUCACAAUGAAUAAAUGUUAACAUUUUAUAAUAUUCCCUUCAUUUAUAUUUGUAAAACUGAAAUAUUACUGAUCCAGCUGGAGCCUCUUUGUACCUGGUCCUAUUUUCCUCCUUCUCCAGAGACAACUGUGCUCAUGAUUUUGGUAUGUAUCUGACUUCUAGUAUGUGCUUCCAUACUUUGACUACACAGGUAUUUAUCCCUAAACAAGUGUUGCUAUUGUAUGUUUUUAAACUUACUUAAAUGGCACUGUAAUGUAUACAUCAGUCUGUAACUUUGAUUUUUCAUUUAGUAUUAUGAUUUUGAGAUUUAUCUUUACACACAGAUCUAAUUGUUCAUUUCAUCUAGUUCACUCAUUCUAGGAGACAAAGACACAUGUAGAGUAUUUCUUUAAGUAAAUAUUCUCCUAUGGAUGGCCCAAUUAAAAUGUACAGUAUUCUAUAAGUUAUCAGCUUAGCUACUGUCACUUGCUGGAAGCUUUUUCUAUUUCUGUCUUUCUCUCACCAUUAGAGUGUAGUAGAGGCCCUUCCUCUUCCUGGUCCCCUGUGCUCAUGUGUGUUAUAGACUCCACCACAUAUUGUUGAAAAAUGUCCUCCUUUGCCUUAGACUGUGGACUCAUCAACAUCAGGGACCUGUAAUCUGUUCAUAAUGUUCAUGGUGUAGCCCCCAGGUCAGUGCUGUGCAGGAGACAAUGCUGGCACAUUUUGAUGAACAGAUGAAUAAAUGAUUCUAUGUCAUGGAGUAAGCUAUGUCAGUGAUUUAUUGAUGUAGCUUAAAAUCAAAGUCCCAAGUAAGUACUUUUUUUUUU